CGAAAGCCUGACGGAGCAACGCCGCGUGUGGGAAGAAGGCUCUUGGGCUGUCAACCACUUUUCUCAGGGAAGAAGUUCUGACGGUACCUGAGGAAUCAGCAUCGGCUAACUCCGUGCCAGCAGCCGCGGUAAGACGGAGGAUGCAAGCGUUAUCCGGAAUUAUUGGGCGUAAAGCGUCCGCAGGUGGUGAGUCAAGUCUGCUGUCAAAGCCAGGAGCUCAACUCCUGUCCGGCAGUGGAAACUGACCCACUCGAGGGUGGUAGGGGUAGAGGGAAUUCCCAGUGUAGCGGUGAAAUGCGUAGAGAUUGGGAAGAACACCGGUGGCGAAAGCGCUCUACUGGGUCGCACCUGACCCUCAGGGACGAAAGCUAAGGUAGCG
This 379-nucleotide ribosomal RNA is filed under the name uncultured cyanobacterium. Its description in RNAcentral is "bacterial SSU rRNA". It matches the Rfam family "Bacterial small subunit ribosomal RNA", at positions 376 to 770 of the family's 1533-position model. Lineage: Bacteria; Bacillati; Cyanobacteriota. The record is from RNAcentral.